Molecule: ribosomal RNA, 377 nt
Filed under: uncultured Gammaproteobacteria bacterium
Lineage: Bacteria; Pseudomonadati; Pseudomonadota; Gammaproteobacteria
Description: bacterial SSU rRNA
Rfam family: Bacterial small subunit ribosomal RNA
Source: RNAcentral
UAAUACGGAGGGUACAAGCGUUAAUCGGAAUUACUGGGCGUAAAGCGCGCGUAGGCGGCUAAGCAAGUUGGAUGUGAAAGCCCCGGGCUCAACCUGGGAACUGCAUUCAAAACUACUUAGCUAGAGUACGAGAGAGGAGAGUAGAAUUUCUGGUGUAGCGGUGAAAUGCGUAGAUAUCAGAAGGAAUACCAAUGGCGAAGGCAGCUCUCUGGCUCGUCACUGACGCUAAGGUGCGAAAGCGUGGGUAGCAAACAGGAUUAGAUACCCUGGUAGUCCACGCCGUAAACGAUGAGAACUAGCCGUUGGAAGGAAUUGACCUUUCAGUGGCGCAGCUAACGCAUUAAGUUCUCCGCCUGGGGACUACGGCCGCAAGGCUA